RNAcentral lists this long non-coding RNA (211 nucleotides) under Mytilus galloprovincialis (Mediterranean mussel). The record is from RNAcentral. Lineage: Eukaryota; Metazoa; Mollusca; Bivalvia; Mytilida; Mytilidae.
CAGCGAUUUGUUGAUGGAUAAAAAAAUUAUUUCUAGUCAAGUUUGAUUUGAAUUUUCCUUAUGGUUUCAGAAGAGAUUUUUACAGAACAGUACAAGACGACUAACGCUGACGACGGUUGCGAGACGACUCAGACAAGUAAUGGCAAUAGCUCACCUUGACCUGGUGAUACAAAAAUUCACAUGAAUAAAAAUCAUAAAUUUUAUUAAUGGA